Molecule: long non-coding RNA, 1264 nt
Organism: Zonotrichia albicollis (white-throated sparrow)
Lineage: Eukaryota; Metazoa; Chordata; Aves; Passeriformes; Passerellidae
Source: Ensembl
CUUUUAUUUCUGAGUGUCAUUUGAGCCAAAAUUAAGUGGAUCUGCACACACUAUUUUCAGUUGUCAGAUACACUAAUUCAUUUAUUUGGCAAGUGAUCUCAUUCCUGGUUAAAAAUGUUGUGCCUAUGACAGCGUUAAAGGAGUGUAAUGUAGUACAUCAGGCAGCAAGAAGCACAGAAGAGACAGAGGAGGAAAGCAAUUUUUAAGCUGGUUUUAUUUCUGGUCUGCUCAGCUUCUACAAACAGGCAUAACUCAACAGGGAUGCAUAUAUAGGAAGAAAUCUCCAGUAUUAGCUGAGUUGACAGUUCACUUUUGAGGUUGACCUAAAAAUAAAAAAACAACAGCAGAAAAAGCUAUUAGUAAUUUGCAGUCAUUGAAAAUUACUGAUUAUAAUUCUGUAGUAUUAUCUGUCUACAGUCUACCAAAUCAGUCUUACAUUAAAAAUCCCCAGGAUCAGGUGACCAUAUCUCAAGGCUGAUACUGCUAUUUCUAUCUAUGACCUAGUGUCAAACCCAGAUCACUGGAAAAUGUAAGCUUUCCUAUCUAAGCAGAUCCCUUAUCUCUUUUCUUAACGCUUGGGAACAAGGUACUACCAGCUGCUAUUAAGUGUGAAUGAAGCUCAGAUCCUUUCUCUUACCCUCCAAGGAAUGUGCUCCAGCCCUGCUCAGGGCACGGUAACUCAAUUCCUUAGGGAAAAUAGAAAAGCCAUUUUUGAGCUGCUGAGAAACAGUGUUUGAACACUGAAGUUACCAGGGGAACCAAUGUACUGAAAGCCUUUAGUUGACAGUACAUUUAGUUGUCUAACUAUUUCUAGAACAAUAAUAAAAAUAAUAGCACACUCUCCAGGUCACCUGGAAAGUAACCCUUCACAUUUCUGCUCUGACUCUUGCUGUUGUAAGAUCAGCACUAUCUUGGCCCCUUCACCCAUGAUAUUUUUGCAACUUCAGCAAGGUAUACAAUUCCAAUUAUUCACACGCAAAAAAGAAAUGUAGAUUCAAACAGAUACAGAGAUAUCCCGGGACUGUUAUUUCUUUUUCUCCUCAUAAUCUGCUUUCACAGGAACAUCAAACAGAGAUUUUUUCCUCUUAUCUCUGGAUGGACCAUUCAGCAGAUGGAGCCCCUGAUUUCAAUCCCAAAGGCAAUUUAUCAACUAAAUUUUAUCCACAAAGUUAAAGUAAGCUGCUGGCUUUUGUGUCCAUCUCUGCUGAUGCUGAAUUUUGCCCCAAAAGGCGAGAAUAACUGCCUAAGAGACUCAAGUAUUUAA